GGACUAACACAAGGAAACAAAUCUUGAUUUAACAAUGUAAUAGAAAAUAAGAAAAUGUGGUAUAAUUGCCAUGAGAGACUACUCCCCAACAGUGAACAGAUGACUUCUCAGUAGUAAUUAACAACUAAAGGUCACCCUACGGGCUUCAACAAUGAUCAAAACCCAUACCGCAUUGAAAGCUAUUACAGUCUGGCCGCGAAACGACA
Molecule: long non-coding RNA, 206 nt
Filed under: Mytilus galloprovincialis (Mediterranean mussel)
Lineage: Eukaryota; Metazoa; Mollusca; Bivalvia; Mytilida; Mytilidae
Source: RNAcentral